GUGCUCCUACGGGGGCAGCAGUCGAGAAUCAUUCACAAUGGGGGAAACCCUGAUGCAGCAACGCCGCGUGGGUGAAGGAGCGUUUCGGCGCGUAAAGCCCUGUCAGCGGGGAAGAAGAAAGACGGUACCCGACCAAGAAGCCCCGGCUAACUACGUGCCAGCAGCCGCGGUAAUACGUAGGGGGCGAGCGUUAUCCGGAAUUACUGGGUGUGAAGGGAGCGUAGACGGCGAGGUAAGCCUGAAGUGGAAGCCCGCGGCCCAACCGCGGAACUGCUUUGGGAACUGUUUUGCUGGAGUAUGGGAGG
RNAcentral lists this ribosomal RNA (305 nucleotides) under uncultured bacterium. RNAcentral describes it as "bacterial SSU rRNA". It matches the Rfam family "Bacterial small subunit ribosomal RNA", at positions 333 to 655 of the family's 1533-position model. The record is from RNAcentral.